This 1423-nucleotide ribosomal RNA is filed under the name Bacillus sp. (in: firmicutes). RNAcentral's name for it is "bacterial SSU rRNA". It matches the Rfam family "Bacterial small subunit ribosomal RNA", at positions 72 to 1199 of the family's 1533-position model. The record is from RNAcentral. Lineage: Bacteria; Bacillati; Bacillota; Bacilli; Caryophanales; Bacillaceae.
AAGGGAGCUUGCUCCCGGAUGUUAGCGGCGGACGGGUGAGUAACACGUGGGUAACCUGCCUGUAAGACUGGGAUAACUCCGGGAAACCGGAGCUAAUACCGGAUAGUUCCUUGAACCGCAUGGUUCAAGGAUGAAAGACGGUUUCGGCUGUCACUUACAGAUGGACCCGCGGCGCAUUAGCUAGUUGGUGAGGUAACGGCUCACCAAGGCGACGAUGCGUAGCCGACCUGAGAGGGUGAUCGGCCACACUGGGACUGAGACACGGCCCAGACUCCUACGGGAGGCAGCAGUAGGGAAUCUUCCGCAAUGGACGAAAGUCUGACGGAGCAACGCCGCGUGAGUGAUGAAGGUUUUCGGAUCGUAAAGCUCUGUUGUUAGGGAAGAACAAGUGCAAGAGUAACUGCUUGCACCUUGACGGUACCUAACCAGAAAGCCACGGCUAACUACGUGCCAGCAGCCGCGGUAAUACGUAAGUGGCAAGCGUUGUCCGGAAUUAUUGGGCGUAAAGGGCUCGCAAGCGGUUUCUUAUGUCUGAUGUGAAAACCCCGGGCUCAACCGCGGAGGGUCAUUGAAACCUGUGAUCCUUAACUGCAGAUAAGGACAAUGAAAUUCCCCUCGUCACGGGGAAUUCCUCCACAUAUGUGGAGGAAUUACCCGUGGACAAAGGGGAAUUCUCCGCUCUGUAUCUGAACCCUAAGGAUCCCAAAUCUUCGAUGAGCCCACCCCGAUUAGAUACCCUGGGUUUUCCCCCCCCGACAUCAAAAAACCGCCCAGCGGGUACCGUUUAUUUCCCACCCACUUUACUGGAGAAAAGCUUAGCGCACUAAAAUAUUACCGCCGGGGAGGGUCAUUGGAAACUGGGAAACUUGAGUGCAGAAGAGGAGAGUGGAAUUCCACGUGUAGCGGUGAAAUGCGUAGAGAUGUGGAGGAACACCAGUGGCGAAGGCGACUCUCUGGUCUGUAACUGACGCUGAGGAGCGAAAGCGUGGGGAGCGAACAGGAUUAGAUACCCUGGUAGUCCACGCCGUAAACGAUGAGUGCUAAGUGUUAGGGGGUUUCCGCCCCUUAGUGCUGCAGCUAACGCAUUAAGCACUCCGCCUGGGGAGUACGGUCGCAAGACUGAAACUCAAAGGAAUUGACGGGGGCCCGCACAAGCGGUGGAGCAUGUGGUUUAAUUCGAAGCAACGCGAAGAACCUUACCAGGUCUUGACAUCCUCUGACAACCCUAGAGAUAGGGCUUUCCCUUCGGGGACAGAGUGACAGGUGGUGCAUGGUUGUCGUCAGCUCGUGUCGUGAGAUGUUGGGUUAAGUCCCGCAACGAGCGCAACCCUUGAUCUUAGUUGCCAGCAUUCAGUUGGGCACUCUAAGGUGACUGCCGGUGACAAACCGGAGGAAGGUGGGGAUGACGUCAAAUCAUCAUGCC